This 460-nucleotide ribosomal RNA is filed under the name uncultured bacterium. RNAcentral describes it as "partial 16S ribosomal RNA". It matches the Rfam family "Bacterial small subunit ribosomal RNA", at positions 338 to 795 of the family's 1533-position model. The record is from RNAcentral.
CCUACGGGGGGCAGCAGUGAGGAAUAUUGGUCAAUGGACGAGAGUCUGAACCAGCCAAGUAGCGUGAAGGAUGACUGCCCUAUGGGUUGUAAACUUCUUUUAUAUGGGAAUAAAAUGUUCCACGUGUGGGAUUUUGUAUGUACCAUAUGAAUAAGGAUCGGCUAACUCCGUGCCAGCAGCCGCGGUAAUACGGAGGAUCCGAGCGUUAUCCGGAUUUAUUGGGUGUAAAGGGAGCGUAGGUGGAUUGUUAAGUCAGUUGUGAAAGUUUGCGGCUCAACCGUAAAAUUGCAGUUGAAACUGGCAGUCUUGAGUACAGUAGAGGUAGGCGGAAUUCGUGGUGUAGCGGUGAAAUGCUUAGAUAUCACGAAGAACUCCGAUUGCGAAGGCAGUUCACUGGACUGCAACUGACACUGAGGCUCGAAAGUGUGGGUAUCAAACAGGAUUAGAUACCCGUGUAGUC